AUGAGACGAAGGGAGCCUGGGUCCCCAAAUCACCAUGUCGGAGCUCUUCAGCCAAAAGCUGACACUGAGCUGCUACGUGAGCAAGAGACACCUUGCCCAGAUGGAAGGCCAUUAAUGGAUUUUUAUUUUCAAAAGAGGUAUCUUUGCAAAUCAAAGAGAGUCAGAGAAUGCAAAUGAAAAUUGCAGUAACUGAUUAUCCAGCAGAAUGCUUGCCUUAAAGGUGAGAGGCGGUUUUGGAAAUCAAUUACAUCAAAUUUCACCAUUCUUUACCUGGGCAAUAUUUUCAAAUGCAUUAAUUUCCAAUUUAGGUUAUUAAGUGUAUGACAAAUCUGAAUAUACAUUGCAUGUUUCCUCUCAUAUUUUAAAUUUUGUAUCCAAUUACACAAAGAGGCAGAUGCAGAAUACUUUUAUUUUAGGAUCAAUUAUACCAUAUUGAUAAAUGAAAAUGACAUUGCACCUUAU
This 462-nucleotide long non-coding RNA is filed under the name Pan troglodytes (chimpanzee). RNAcentral's name for it is "lncRNA (ENSPTRG00000054515.1)". Lineage: Eukaryota; Metazoa; Chordata; Mammalia; Primates; Hominidae. The record is from RNAcentral.